GUCAGAUGCUCUCAGAGAACGGUAUGAGUGAACACAAGUCAGAUGCUCUCAGAUAGAGAACGGUAUGAGUGAACACAAGUCAGAUGCUCUCAGAGAACGGUAUGAGUGAACACAAGUCAGAUGCUCUCAGAGAACGGUAUGAGUGAACACAAGUCAGAUGCUCUCAGGUAGAGAAUGGUAUGAGUGAACACAAGUCAGAUGCUCUCAGAUAGAGAACGGGAUGAGUGAACACAAGUCAGAUGCUCUCAGAUAGAGAACGGUAUGAGUGAACACAAGUCAGAUGCUCUCAGAUAGAGAACGGUAUGAGUGAACACAAGUCAAAUGCUCUCAGAGAACGGGAUGAGUGAACACAAGUCAAAUGCUCUCAGAUAGAGAACGGGAUGAGUGAACACAAGUCAAAUGCUUUGAGGGUCCCAGGUCAGAGCUAAGUGCUCAGUAAGGGGCAGCAGCCCCCACCCAUUUCAGGUGACCUUGCAGCUAUGAAACAAAGGGUGAGAAGUAUCAGGAAGGGGUCACGGAACACGGCUGGGCAGCAGGAGCCUCAUCAGACACAGGCUCCCCCCGCCCUCGGCGUGCUGGUGCCAGCCUGCCACAUGGCUGCUUAGGGACGUCGUGGCUGUCAGCCACAGCUUGCCCUGGGUAACGGUGUGCAGCACGCUUGUGGGAAAACCAGCAGCACUUGUUAAAAUACAGACUCCUGGGCCCCAGCCCAGUGUCAGAGCCUCCCUGGGGAUGGCAUCCUGAACCUUGCACUUCAAGGAAGCCCCACCCUUUACCCCCAGUCUCGGGGCACUUUGCAAGUGCCACAGAGCAGGAAGGAAUUGCUGAAGUAACGUGUUUUGGAGGGAGAGAGCUAAU
Molecule: long non-coding RNA, 858 nt
Filed under: Homo sapiens (human)
Lineage: Eukaryota; Metazoa; Chordata; Mammalia; Primates; Hominidae
Description: HSALNT0100846
Source: RNAcentral